GAUCAUGGCUCAGGAUGAACGCUAGCGGCAGGCUUAACACAUGCAAGUCGAGGGGCAGCGGGAAGUCAGCUUGCUGACUUUGCCGGCGACCGGCGCACGGGUGAGUAACACGUAUCCAACCUCCCGCAUACUCGGGAAUAGCCUUUCGAAAGAAAGAUUAAUGCCCGAUGGUUUCAAGGGAUUGCAUGGUAUCUUGAAUAAAGAUUCAUCGGUAUGCGAUGGGGAUGCGUUCCA
RNAcentral lists this ribosomal RNA (234 nucleotides) under uncultured bacterium. RNAcentral describes it as "partial 16S ribosomal RNA". It matches the Rfam family "Bacterial small subunit ribosomal RNA", at positions 15 to 240 of the family's 1533-position model. The record is from RNAcentral.